AUAUUUUUAAUUCUAACGAUAUUUAUUUACUAUUGCAUCCAAGAAACAAACAACGAUUUAAUAGACAAGAUUACCGGAUUUUAAUGCUGAUGUAAUUACACAUUUGAAAAUAAAUCGCUGAAAAUUUACAUGAAAAGAUGUGCAGCAAACAGAAAUUCUGUUGUUGCUAUAGCGACAGCGUAGAAACGCAGACAUGCCGCAAUUCGAGCAUUUUUAACACAAUGUUACAUUUUUACAAAGUUACUGAACAAGUAUGGAUGGUUUGGGCAUGUAAUUCAGGCUUAUCCUAUAGGCACAUAAGAGAUCAUUUCACGGUGUUGUACCCUAGAAGACCUAUUCCAUCUGUGUCAAUAACUAAAUCUGUUGUUGAGAAAUUCGAAAAAGAUGGGAAUAUCAAUCCAGGUUUAGUGCCUGUUCUUCAC
RNAcentral lists this long non-coding RNA (422 nucleotides) under Androctonus crassicauda. The record is from RNAcentral. Lineage: Eukaryota; Metazoa; Arthropoda; Arachnida; Scorpiones; Buthidae.